Microtus oregoni (creeping vole) is the source of this 1667-nucleotide long non-coding RNA. RefSeq lists it as uncharacterized. The record is from RefSeq and is a predicted model, not a curated record. The transcript has 10 exons. Lineage: Eukaryota; Metazoa; Chordata; Mammalia; Rodentia; Cricetidae.
CUCACGUUGCCUGUGCGUCAGUGGCUGGCGCCUUUGCUGCUUGGCGGGUUGUCCAGGUAACCGCGGGAGUUGUCUUGGUCAACGACCAUCCGAGACCUGGGCGUCACGCAGUUGAAGCACCUGAGGACCCUGCUGAGCCCUCAGUUUUGAGAGAAAACCUGUGACGUAGAUGUAGAACAAAGGCACACGAAGACUGAUGGACCUGGAGACGCUCUGUACUCUGGAGACCAGCGCUGUGUUUACAGUACCCCUUUGCCUCUGCAAGAUGGAGCUGCGAAGGUGACUUGUAUGGCCUGGUCCCAGAACAACGCUAAAUAUGCUGUCUGCACAGUGGACCGAGUGGUAUUGCUGUACGAUGAGCAUGGGGAGCGGGAGAGACAAGUUCUCCACCAAGCCAGCUGACAUGAAGUGUGGCUGGAAGAGCUACAUGGUAAAGGGCAUGGCUUUCUCCCCUGAUUCCACUAAAAUUGCCAUCGGACAGACUGACAACAUCAUCUAUGCCUACAAGAUUGGAGAAGAUUGGGGUGACAAGAAGGUCAUCUGUAACAAGUUCAUCCAGACGGUAAAGUUCAGAGAGUGCUGUCACCUGUCUACAGUGGCCUGCAGAGUACAUUAUUGUCUUCGGACUGGCUGAAGGCAAGGUAACGGAGGAGAGGGAGACACAGGUUCGAUAAGCAAACACUAAAACUAACAAGUCGUCUACCAUCUAUGGGACAGACUCGUAUGUGGUGGCGCUGACAACCAAGUGAAUAACAGAAGUAGACUGGGACUGUCAGGACAAAGCUGCAUUUGAUGGAAAGGGGACUGUCACGGGGCGGAAGUCCCUCCCUCUGUGCCCACCUCUCUGCCUCUGCCCUUCAGUUGCUCUGGGAAAGGCAUCCUCUCAGGUCACGCAGACGGCACCAUCGUCAGGUAUUUGUUCGAUGAUGAAGGCUCCGGAGGGUCACAGGGGAAGUUGGUUAACCACCCAUGCCCACCGUAUGCCUUGGCUUGGGCAACCAACAGCAUCGUGGCAGCAGGCUGUGAUCGGAGGAUUGUGGCCUAUGGAAAGGAAGGCCACGUGCUACAGACUUUUGACUACAGCCGUAAUCCUCAGGAACGUGAAUUCACCACAGCUUCAGCAAGUCCUGGAGGCCAGUCUGUCGUGCUAGGAAGCUACGACAGUGGAUCUGAUUGGCAGCUACAACAUUGGUACUAUCAGUCACGAGAGCCGUGUGGAUUGGCUGGAACUUAAUGAGACUGGGCACAAGCUUCUCUUCAGGGAUCGGAAACUUCGUUUGCAUCUAUAUGAUAUUGAAAGCUGCUCCAAGACAAUGAUCCUCAACUUCUGCUCCUACGUGCAGUGGGUUCCCGGGAGCGAUGUGCUGGUAGCCCAGAACCGAAACAGCUUGUGUGUGUGGUACAACAUUGAGGCACCCGAGAGAGUCACCAUGUCCUCUAUCAGGGGCAACAGCCUUCUUGGAGACCCUGGAGAUGACCCCAGAAACAGAGGCAACGUGGAAAACCUUGAGCAAACUGGCCCUGGAGGCAAGGCAGCUCCGCACUGCUGAGAGGUAAGAGCUGUGGAACUGAAUGCUGGCCACUAGGAGGCCUGUGGGCUGCUUCUGUCCUGUGUGUGAGCACUGCUUCCCACACACCCCAACAACAUGAGCCCUUCCUGGUGCACU